AGUAUGGCAGGAGGUGGAAAUUGAGUUUUUAUUCAAUUUGUUCUUCAGAUGUUUAUCAAUAUCAGAUGCUCUUUGUUCACUUAAUUCACUACCACGAUCUUUAUCUUCAAUUGUGCUAAAGGAUUCCGGUUUAUUUCAUGGAAUACAAAUCCGUUUGAUCUUUGCCAUAGUCACCGGACUCUAGCAUCCAAUCGUCUACGUAUUCGUAGAAAAAGUAAAUGUUGUGGAAUUUAACGCUUUAUUGCAUCACAUCCGACUAAAAAAAAUGACCAGGGAAACAGAAGGCUGACAGACAUAUUCAUAGAAAAUAUGAAAAAGCCUUGCCUGUUGCCGUGUUGGAACUUGUAUUGACCUGUAUGAGCAUCAUACUGUGCAAAUCACCUAAAGAUGGAGUUGACCAAGUUGCUGACUUUGAGGAGAACUUGAAGAGCAGAAGAUGCAUUCCAUGACUCUUAUGUGAUAUAGAAGAGAAAGAAGAGCUCUUGAGAAUGGAAAAAAACUGCGAGUUUUACAGUCAAUGAACACACCUCACGACACACGUCCAUCCUGAUUCAGUAAACUGUUCUUCUAAGGAAACACCAUGACUUAGUUAAGAUCAAGUUUUGGUGUCAGAAGACUAAUGUAACUAAAACAUUGCAAAAUUAACCUGCAAGUGUCUUAUGUAAGCCUACUGAAUAAGGAUUCAUUACUGAACAGUUGAAGGAAAAUCAAUAUUAUAAUGAUUUUAAAAAAAAGAUGAUUGUGUUGUUUGGAUAACAUUGUGAUCCAUGUUUGUUGAAUAAACAACUUUGCAAAAA
Long non-coding RNA from Ostrea edulis (European flat oyster), 797 nucleotides. RefSeq lists it as uncharacterized. The transcript has 3 exons. NCBI's taxonomy places the organism in Eukaryota, Metazoa, Mollusca, Bivalvia, Ostreida, Ostreidae. The record is from RefSeq and is a predicted model, not a curated record.